RNAcentral lists this long non-coding RNA (1154 nucleotides) under Sinocyclocheilus grahami. Its description in RNAcentral is "lncRNA (ENSSGRG00000012889.1)". Lineage: Eukaryota; Metazoa; Chordata; Actinopteri; Cypriniformes; Cyprinidae. The record is from RNAcentral.
AGAUAAUCGAAAUACAAAUGUUCAAGAAUCCUUUGAACAUAUUACUGAUGAUUUCAACGAGACACUCAACGAAUACAGGCUAGGCUAUGAAUCUGUGCCUGAGCCUUCCCUAUCUGACCUUUCAUCUUAUAUUCCUGAUGAUAUUGAGACUACUCUCCUUCAAAACAAAAUGCCAAGUGUUGAUUCAGAAGAUCAAAUGUCAGCAGUAGAAAUCAAGGAUUCAACCUUGCAGGAACAGGAGGAGUUGCCAGUCCAGUCCAUUGAUCAACAACCACCAGUUCAAGAGAAAUCACCUGCACCAUUUCCCUCUUUUCACAAUGAGCAGUCUAGCAAAAUCAUUGACGAUAUGUCUGGCCCUAUGGCAAAUGAGGUUACUGAGGGAUCAGUGAUAACUAAGUCUGAACCUCGAGUUGUGACCACCAAAGAUCUUUUAGAUAGACCAGAUUCGCCAGAGACCCUGAGUGAUACAGAGACGUUUGAAGCAGAAUGUUCAGUAACCGCAGCGACUGACAGCUUUGUGGAGUUCAUGAGGGAGUGUCUUAAGUCACGGCAGGAUGAAGAACCUGAAGUCCUCAGUCCUGGACUCAAAACUAUAGACCAGAAUCCCAAAUCUGAUGCUUCUGCUUCCACUCAAUCCUCCCCAGCAAUGAUUAUAGACUUGGAGCAGGAGCGCCUCACAAUUUCGGCUUUGAAAGAGCUCGGAAGCAGCCAAGAGGAGGAAGACAUGAAUAUUCCCACCAUGAAGACUGUCCUAAAGCCUGAUAAAGCUCCACUUCCUACACCUAGUGCUGAGGCCUCAGUCACCUCAUCUUCUCUCACUCCUCAAAGCGAGUACCAGCCUGAUGCCUUACUUCCCAAAGAGGUAGAGGCAAUCGACAUUUGGGUAGCAGAGGCCUACCACCUUGCAGAGCAUGUCUUGACAGCAAUACUAACCCACCUUACAGGUAACAUGUCUUUCUUCUGGGCAAGCAGCCUGCUAACCCUGCACGCAUAGUACUGUACGCCCAGACACUAGACCUUACUUACCUCUUUUACUUUAUAAUUCAACUUUAAUUUACUCAACUCUAACCUAUAAGAAUGCUUCUGAAACUAUGGCAAUAAGUAACAUUUAAUAGCCUUUUGGAGAUUAUAAAUGGCUUGUUUGUUGUGAGGCA